AUGGUAGAUGUAUGGGGCUUGACCCAGGCCCUGUGUACACGAAGUAAAUGCAUAAACACUGGAGAGGAGUGUGCAUACCUACCAGUGUUAUCACAGCAUAAGGAAGGAUUUGGCAACGGGAGCGAAGAUGCAGGUGUUUAUCUUACCCUCCCUGCAGUGCUGGAGUGGCUGUGGGGGAAAUCUCUCCUUCUCCUGAAGUUCCGACUGGCCAUCUGCCUGCAGCUGACCUCACAGGAGGAACCUGCGGCCUGGCAUUCCACGUGGGCAUCUGUGCACUCAGCCCAGCUGGUCCCACUCUGCUGCUGUGCUCUACGCAUUUCAUCUCAAUUGGGUGACAUACUUGAAUAUAGCAAUUAUGAGAACAGCAACCUCAGAAGAAUACCUGGCAUCCAGACCAUCCCAGCCCAUUUCCACAAGCCCAGCCUGACUCCUGGAGAUUGUGAAUAG
Molecule: long non-coding RNA, 447 nt
Filed under: Callithrix jacchus (white-tufted-ear marmoset)
Lineage: Eukaryota; Metazoa; Chordata; Mammalia; Primates; Cebidae
Description: lncRNA (ENSCJAG00000085305.1)
Source: RNAcentral